This 68-nucleotide non-coding RNA is filed under the name Bigelowiella longifila. The record is from RNAcentral. Lineage: Eukaryota; Cercozoa; Chlorarachniophyceae.
UAUAUUUACUUUUUUUUUUCUUUUCUAAUGCUUUUUUUUUUCUCCCCUAAUAUAUAAAUACACAGGAA